AACCCCGAUUGUUGCGCUGUUAAUGGGGCUCGGUUUUUCAUACUCUGGCGAUUUUGGGGGUAUAAUUUUAUUACUUAUCUGAACUGUUGCGAGUACAUGCAGUAAUGGGAGUUUUGCAAUAAUGGAGUUUCUGUAAAUUGCAUCAGAUUGGGUAUGAGUUUUCUCAAAAUGAGUGUUUGUUCUUUGUUUUACUAUGUGGAUGUUAAUUGGAAAUUAAGUGCUUUGUAUUAAAGCAGUCAUUCUAGUCAAAUAUGGAUUGAGAAGUAUUUUCAAAUUAUAUUAAGAAGGAUUUUUUUUCCUCAACACCAUCAUAGGCACAAGAAAAAGCAUUUUGAUUUCUGGUAUUAAUUUUGAACAGAUUAGUACAGAAUUUCCUGCUAGAAACAUGUUUGGCAAUGCUUUCUUUUGAUUCGGUGAGGACAUGUUGCUAAAUUUUUAAACUUAAAUUUAUAAUUAUGCAUUAAUUUCCUUUAGUUUUUCUGUGGAAACUGGAAGUUUGGAUCCUUUUAUGGUUCUUAACUGAAUUCAUAUGCUAGAUUGAAGAUAUGAGGACAAGUUAUAUAGUUGGUGAAAUGCUGGAUUCAGAAUAAAAUAGUGGGCCCUGCAUAAAUUGAAUUGGAGGGAAAAUGAUUGCCUGAGCGUAAAUUGAAAUCGUUGUUAGUUUUGAAUUUUACUUUGAACCUUUGAUAUGAACUCGUGGAACAAUUAGGUUUUUUUAUUUUAUUUAUUUUAUUUUAUAUUUUAAAUUGGUAUGAACUUAGCAAGUAUCUGGUACUACAUUGAUUACUUCAUCCUUUUUGUUAUUUUCUUGAAGUUUUUAGCAUUCUAUUCACAUGAUUCCUAAGUUUAGAAGAGGGAAGUAUGGAAGCUUUUUCUUGUAAAAGAUAUUCUUAUAUUCUUGCUGUAUUCAUAAAUGUUUAUCUAAUUCAUUGAGAGUUGAAAGUGAGUCAAAUGUAGUUUGCUAGGCAAUGUUGUAUUAAGUUGCUCAAUUUUGUUAUAUGCAUUGGUUAACACAACUGAAAGUUCUGUUCUUUUUGGUAUUUCAGAUAAAUUAUUGGUUGGUGAUUUUUUCCCCCUUUAUUGCAUGUAUGUCAAGCAGUUGGGCUAUCUCCUUGAAUUAUUACUCAAUUUUCCCUAGGCAAUAAAUGCUGGAUAGCUGCACUCAUAGAAUUGUUGAUUUUAUAGUUUGCGUGAUGACGUACUCAAAGUGUGUUCAUAGAUUCUGUGUACUGAAAGCACGCUUUAUAGGUAAUGUAUUUUGUAAUAGACAGAUGUGAUUACCAUUGCUGUUGCUAUAUGGAAUGAUUGAAAGUAAAUUGAGAGGGUUUCCAGAUCUUUUGUUUUGGGACAAUUGUUGUUGUGUUACGGUCAUGCUUUAGCAUGAAAUUGGUUGUGUCUAAAAUUGCUUUUUCUUUUCUUUCUGUUUCAAAAAGGGAGUGGCUCCAAGCGUAUGCUGCUUCCUUCAAUGGAGCGUCAACUUCUAAAAAUAUCAUAGGACAUAGCUAAGUUACACACACCACUAAUGAGGCGUGCAAGAGAAUCAGACCACAGGUGACUGAAGUCCUUGAACAGCCAACUGAUUAAAAUGGAUGUGCUUCCAAUUGCAUUCUCAAUUUGUCUUUGCUGGUGAUGAUUUCUAAAGCCCAUAUGGCAGCAUUGGGACUUGAAGGCAUCGGCUUAUGCUGGAAGCUAUGUUGAAUCACUUUGUCAUUGGAUUAGUUGAUUUGAUUGAUUUGAUUGACCUCCAAAGUUUAUCCAUUAUUUCUGUGGCCAUGAAAUUAAUGCCGAAAGUUAUAAUGUACAAUAGAGCCUCAAAAUAAUUAUCUGGCUAUGGCUUGCUAGGAUUUUGAGUGUUAUGAUUAGGUUGAUACUCCCUGCCUCCAAAUGCUGAGAGAAAAUGGCUUUUUCUCCAGGAAAAGAAGUUCACGACCCAUGGGCAGCAUUGGGACUUGAAGGCAUCGGCUUAUGCUGGAAGCUAUGUUGAAUCACUUUGUCAUUGGAUUAGUUGAUUUGAUUGAUUUGAUUGACCUCCAAAGUUUAUCCAUUAUUUCUGUGGCCAUGAAAUUAAUGCCGAAAGUUAUAAUGUACAAUAGAGCCUCAAAAUAAUUAUCUGGCUAUGGCUUGCUAGGAUUUUGAGUGUUAUGAUUAGGUUGAUACUCCCUGCCUCCAAAUGCUGAGAGAAAAUGGCUUUUUCUCCGGGAAAAGAAGUUCACGACCCAUGGGCCUUCUAGCUCCAUGCGGCAUUGCUCCGUCAGGCCUUUGCCCAGUGAAACACUAUUGGUGCUGAAUCAAGGGUUAUUUCCAGCGGCAUUAGAAGAUAUUAUGUGUAUAAUUUAACUGCUCUAAUGACUGGUUAAAGUUUCUGUCGGAAUUAUUCAACUCAGGAUUGAGGAGUCUCUUUCAUGUUUUAUUCUUGCAAUGAGGGACAUAUGCUCAUUGUAUGAUUAUGGGCCCAUAUCCACGUGGUGCAGAAAAGUUGGUAACUCGACAGUGAUUGAACAUUGUGAAAUACCCUUCAUUAGGUUUUAUAAAGAAAUCUUUGUUGGUCACUUGCUCGUGAUUGAACAAUGUGAAAUACAUAUCAGGCUCUAUAGCGAAAUCUUCUCUUAUAAUUUGGCUUUGUGCGAAAUUUUCUAGGAUAGAGAUGUGGAAAACGCUAUAUUAUACUGUAUUUUUUUUUGGCAGCAGAGAGUUAGGUGCACUUAGAGGAAAGCUUAGUGAUUUGUAUUUUUGCAGAUUUUUCUCUUGUUGCUGUGCAAUUGGAUUUUAUUGUCACCCUUCGAGUUGUCAUUGGAGGUUUUGCAGAUGAAUUGUCAUGAACUAUUAAUAACUUUCAGUUAUGCCAGAUAAAAUUCAAAUCUGACAUAUAUUUUACAUCAUCUGGUUCCUAUGUAUAUCCGAUUUAGAGCAAAG
This 2913-nucleotide long non-coding RNA is filed under the name Citrus maxima (pomelo). RNAcentral's name for it is "long non-coding RNA (CMAX_LNC001628)". Lineage: Eukaryota; Viridiplantae; Streptophyta; Magnoliopsida; Sapindales; Rutaceae. The record is from RNAcentral.